GACUUAUACUUUCUCUAUCGUUUGCCUCUCGAGAUUCUGGAGAUGACCCGCUGCGCCGGCUCCCUGUGCCGUCCCCAAGAUUCACGCCGCCACGCCUCACCCAACCGCCUGCUUUCCCACGCCGCCGCUUGAGCCCCCGGACGCCGCCACGCCGUCUACCCUGAGUGGCUGGCUUGUUCCCGCCGACGGCCUGCCUGAGGAUCAGAUCGAUGGUUGUGGUGCCAGACCGAUGGGCGCCGGGGCGUGAGGAAGACAACACAGACAUCAGCGGCGGUGACUACGCUCCACCGGUUUUUACGUCUACUCCACUGUUUUUUAUCCCGUCCUCAACAGUCUGUACGAUUUCUCCUCCCAGCAAUUCUUGCGCUCACUCCUCUGCCCACCUCGCUGAUGCCGCCAUCCCCAUGGCACAUGCCCGGUGGCCGACCUAAAGCGCCCCAAUGACCGGCGGCAGUCGUCCCUUACCGACGCUCUAAUCGCGGAGCAAGUGCACCCUCGGCAGGCUUGAGGAGCUCGCAAGCGCGCUGCGUCAAUCAUCUCGCGGUUGUGAACAUCGCGCCGCCCAACCGCGCCCCUCCUCCACGCUGGCAAUCUCGUCAGAAUUUGGUCGCGCCCGUCCUUGGCGUCGCCAGAUCUGGCCACUCCGGUUGUUGGUGUCGUUGGAUCUGACAGCCAUGUGUCACUCACUGCGGCGGCGGCCGGUCUGCAAGGUAAUCACGGAGACAGCGAAGCAGUCUAUCGAGUACUAGGCUUCGACAUGAGGUUGGACCAAAAUCAAGGUGUUGAGCCCCAAGUCCUCGGAGCAAGCCUUCGUCAUUCAUUUCAUUGGGGGGAUUUUCGUUGGAGGGUCAGGGGAGCUUUGAUGAUUGCUAUAAUGCUAGCGGUUUGAUCAUUUCUACAUCGCAAACGAUGUCACAUUUUGGUUUUACAGGUGCUUGAGAAACUUGGUUGAGCCUGUAAAUAGUACACUCCAACUAUUAAAUCUGUAUUUGAUCCACCAUACUAAGUAUGUGAAAUUUUCGGUUCGUCAACUCUUUCGGUUCUCUCAUCCAUCUUUUGGCAGUAAUAUUAGCCGGGGUGAACUUUGGUUACUUUGGUGAUUAUCAAUGAAGUGAUACUAUUUAAUCUUAUUCUUAUUUUUAUUCAAUAAUUGUAUAUUAUGUGCCUUAUGCAAACUACUGUGCCAAGAUCAAGAUAUGAUGUGCAGCGAAGUGGAAACGUGCUGAUGGCCUUUAAUAACAAGAUAUGUUUUUGAAAGAAUGUUUGGUUCAAAAUUACAGCGUGUUUGUCAGGUUUCCUCUUAUAAGUGGUUAUUUCAUUCCUCCCCUUUCUUCCCAAGGAAUCUCCUCAAGUUUAGAGUGUCCGACCAUAGUAGCAUUUGACAUGAAACCCCAUUUUUCCUUAAGUAGUUUGAAACAUUUCGUCAGUUAAGCAGAUACUCGGCUUUCUUUAUUUAUUCAACAAUGUUUAUCUUGCUAUUUUAUAGUAUUCGGUAGAAGAUGAGGGUUCAGCCUCCUUUUGAAAAAUAAAUAAAUUAUGAUGGCCACUUACCAUUAGACUUUUCUUAGGUUUCAUUGUUGCAUGACGAGGUUAAUUAAAUUGGAGUGGAAGCAGCUCCUACUUAUGACAUACAAGUGGUAUAUUUUACAUAUUAGCGGUAUCUACAUAACAAAGUGUGGAAAGUAUGUUCAGUAAACUAUGUGAUAUUUGUAGAAAUAUAUUUAAAAGACCAAAAAUCGAAGUCGCAAAGGUAAAUCCAGCAAAAUGGUGGCUGAGUAGACAUAUUUACACAAUUUAUGAACUUCAAACUGACGUGAGUUUGUGCCUUUUGGUUUCCAAAUGAUGUACUGGAGGGCUUGCACAUUUAUAUUGUCAUAAUGCUACAUCUUAUCCACUUAUGUGGAUUGCAUGGUUGUUAACUUGCUAUCAUGGUCACCUAAUCAUGAUACUACAACAGGUGAGCUUGGAUCUGUACCAACAGUGGAUGGGGCGUCCAUUGAGACCAAGGCGGUUGGAGCAGCGGACUAUCGUCCUAGCAUUGUGAGUCCCUCACCGGGAAAGAAACUUUCUAAAUAUAUCGUCCUAGCAUCCGUGCAUACAACGGCCAUGUCGAAGUAAGGGUGCCCGUGACUAGCUUUAGAAUUUUGGUGUGUCCGGAUGGAGAAUCUAGGAUAGUCACCUCAUCAAGGAAAAGAAAUUAUGGGUUGUUUCAUGUAAUUCUGCUAUUCCACAUGUUCUAAUUAUUUCAAAAGAUCCACUGUGUUCUAAUAUCCAUCUAGAUCUAGAUCCAGUAUGAAUCCGUUUUACAACAGAUUUGUGUUUUAUUUUGGCUUCCACUACUUGCUGGAAAACUUUAGUGAGUUUGAUAAGAUUUUUUAGCAGGCAAAAUCAGUGACAUUAGGAAAAAUCUUCAUUACACAAUAGGUUUUCUCGCGGGUAAAUAUACACGAAGGUAUUUCUUUUUUUCAUUCCUCACUUUAAGCUGCUAAUUUGGACAAGCGAGAUGACUAGAUGAUAGAUGCAUGAAAAGUUGGAAACAUUGAUGAUUUUUGUAGUGUGCACUAACUGAAGUUGGCCUGCUGCUCCCACGUACGCUGUAGUCUCCCUUGGGUGAUUUGGAUUCUGAGAUUUUCUUUGAUUACCAUUGGGCAUUGGUUUCUUGUUCUACAUAUUGGGGCUUUCUUAAUUCUGGUGUUUGGCCUAAGUGAUUGGGGAUUGUUUGUGAAUGUCUGAGUCUGUGGGCAUCUGAAGCUGCACGCUCCAUUGGCUAAAACUUGCUGGUAGGCAAUGGUUUGAACAACUAUUGUGUUCUACAUUUAUUAGUUCAAUAUAUAUCAGCUAGCAGUAUUGGAUGCUAAGAAAAUGAUUAUGUUCAUUCAUUUUAAUUCCAAGAGACAGUCAUUUUCUUAUAGUCUUACUGGAUUCCCUCCCAUUUCAGUUUGAUAUCUUCUCAAAUUCAAAGAAAUUGGCAUGUUAAAUUACUUCUUAACCAGGUUUGGUUUCUAUUCACACAGUGUCCCUUAUAUCCAUGUUAUGACUUUUGUCGUAUACCCUGGUUUCCUUAUAAUUGUAGUAGCAUCCACAGAAACAGAUUAACUCACAUGUCGCUUUUUAUACUGUAUCCUAAUACAUGUUUCUAAACUAAUCAAUUUAUAUGUUUCAUUUUUUGUAUUUUCCUGCCUAUCUACAACUUAUGAUGUCAGAACUCAUUUGUAAUGUACACAUUGGAUCGUAGUUGAUCUUUGUUCUCACAUGCCAGUUAUGUUUUUUGAUGUGGAUAUGCUUAAGUUGAUGCGGUGCGUGGCAUAUGCUCAAGGCUCUUGGUCAUCUAUGGAAAUACACACCGGCAAGAUCAAUUGCUCCAAAGUUGAGAUUAUGAGAGGCUGACUAUAGAACAAAGUAAUGUGCAGAGGAUGCAUUAAUUCUACCUUUUGUGCUCAGCUCCUUAAACAACCCAUCUCAUUGCUGGGCAAAGGGCACAAAGUAAUCAACACGAAUCUCUCCGCUCAAGAAGCAAUGUUACACAGGAAUUUGACAGGUUUAAUAUGGACUAUUUUGGUGUGUGACUACUAAAUGUAAACUCAAGUCAUACUUAUCUCUUAGAGAUCAUGAUGCACGACCCAUAUCUAGCAUGCUGUUGUUUCUGCCUGUACAAAUUGUAUAGUAGAAAUGAUUGUUUGGCUCAUUGUAUAGUUCGAGUUGACUAUGUUAUUCCCAGUUCCUCCAACAUUGUUACCGCGAGAUCUAGAAAUUAAAAUUCAUGAUCUUUUACA
Molecule: long non-coding RNA, 3773 nt
Organism: Lolium perenne
Lineage: Eukaryota; Viridiplantae; Streptophyta; Magnoliopsida; Poales; Poaceae
Source: RefSeq, a predicted model, not a curated record